RNAcentral lists this ribosomal RNA (460 nucleotides) under uncultured bacterium. RNAcentral describes it as "partial 16S ribosomal RNA". It matches the Rfam family "Bacterial small subunit ribosomal RNA", at positions 338 to 795 of the family's 1533-position model. The record is from RNAcentral.
CCUACGGGUGGCAGCAGUGAGGAAUAUUGGUCAAUGGACGGAAGUCUGAACCAGCCAUGCCGCGUGCAGGAAGACGGCUCUAUGAGUUGUAAACUGCUUUUGUACAAGGGUAAACCUGAAUACGUGUAUUCAGCUGAAAGUACUGUACGAAUAAGGAUCGGCUAACUCCGUGCCAGCAGCCGCGGUAAUACGGAGGAUCCAAGCGUUAUCCGGAUUUAUUGGGUUUAAAGGGUGCGUAGGCGGAUUGAUAAGUUAGAGGUGAAAUGUCCGAGGUUAACUCGGGAACUGCCUCUAAUACUGUUGGUCUAGAGAGUAGAUGCGGUAGGCGGAAUGUAUGGUGUAGCGGUGAAAUGCUUAGAGAUCAUACAGAACACCGAUUGCGAAGGCAGCUUACCAAUCUAUAUCUGACGUUGAGGCACGAAAGCGUGGGGAGCAAACAGGAUUAGAUACCCCUGUAGUC